RNAcentral lists this ribosomal RNA (465 nucleotides) under Vreelandella stevensii. Its description in RNAcentral is "partial 16S ribosomal RNA". It matches the Rfam family "Bacterial small subunit ribosomal RNA", at positions 338 to 795 of the family's 1533-position model. Lineage: Bacteria; Pseudomonadati; Pseudomonadota; Gammaproteobacteria; Oceanospirillales; Halomonadaceae. The record is from RNAcentral.
CCUACGGGCGGCUGCAGUGGGGAAUAUUGGACAAUGGGGGCAACCCUGAUCCAGCCAUGCCGCGUGUGUGAAGAAGGCCCUCGGGUUGUAAAGCACUUUCAGUGAGGAAGAACGCCUGGUGGUUAAUACCCAUCAGGAAAGACAUCACUCACAGAAGAAGCACCGGCUAACUCCGUGCCAGCAGCCGCGGUAAUACGGAGGGUGCGAGCGUUAAUCGGAAUUACUGGGCGUAAAGCGCGCGUAGGUGGCUUGAUAAGCCGGUUGUGAAAGCCCCGGGCUCAACCUGGGAACGGCAUCCGGAACUGUCAAGCUAGAGUGCAGGAGAGGAAGGUAGAAUUCCUGGUGUAGCGGUGAAAUGCGUAGAGAUCGGGAGGAAUACCAGUGGCGAAGGCGGCCUUCUGGACUGACACUGACACUGAGGUGCGAAAGCGUGGGUAGCAAACAGGAUUAGAUACCCUUGUAGUC